Molecule: ribosomal RNA, 394 nt
Filed under: alpha proteobacterium BAL177
Lineage: Bacteria; Pseudomonadati; Pseudomonadota; Alphaproteobacteria
Description: bacterial SSU rRNA
Rfam family: Bacterial small subunit ribosomal RNA
Source: RNAcentral
AUGCCUAACACAUGCAAGUCGAACGAACCCUUCGGGGUUAGUGGCGCACGGGUGCGUAACGCGUGGGAAUCUACCCUUAGGUUCGGAAUAACAGUUAGAAAUGACUGCUAAUACCGGAUGAUGACGUAAGUCCAAAGAUUUAUCGCCUAAGGAUGAGCCCGCGUAGGAUUAGCUUGUUGGUGAGGUAAAGGCUCACCAAGGCGACGAUCCUUAGCUGGUCUGAGAGGAUGAUCAGCCACACUGGGACUGAGACACGGCCCAGACUCCUACGGGAGGCAGCAGUGGGGAAUAUUGGACAAUGGGCGAAAGCCUGAUCCAGCAAUGCCGCGUGAGUGAUGAAGGCCUUAGGGUUGUAAAGCUCUUUUACCCGGGAUGAUAAUGACAGUACCGGGAG